Molecule: long non-coding RNA, 741 nt
Filed under: Homo sapiens (human)
Lineage: Eukaryota; Metazoa; Chordata; Mammalia; Primates; Hominidae
Description: novel transcript
Source: RNAcentral
CUCCUGCUCUAGGCCCAGCGCCUUGGACGUGCACAGUAGAUCCCUCCCGGCUUCCCGGCUUCCCGUCUCGUCACCCUCUGAACCUGAGGACGCAGCCAUGGAGCGGUCGGCCUUCAUGGAGCUGGAUGCUGGGAGCAGGCUGGUGAUGCAUCUCCGCGAGUGGCCAGCCCUGCUGGUCAGCAGCACGGGCUGGACAGAGUUUGAACAACUUACUCUUGAUGGACACAACCUUCCUUCUCUUGUCUGUGUGAUAACAGGGUCGGUGGACCUGGGUGUCUGUCUGCACAUGUCCUCCAGUGGCCUGGACCUGCCCAUGAAGGUGGUGGACAUGUUCGGGUGCUGUUUGCCUGUGUGUGCCGUGAACUUCAAGUGUUUACAUGAGCUGGUGAAACAUGAAGAAAAUGGCCUGGUCUUUGAGGACUCAGAGGAACUGGCAGCUCUGCAGAUGCUUUUCUCAAACUUUCCUGAUCCUGCAGGCAAGCUAAACCAGUUUUGGAAGAACCUGCGGGAGUCGCAGCAGCUCCGAUGGGAUGAGAGCUGGGUGCAGACUGUGCUCCCUUUGGUUAUGGACAUACAACUCCUGGGCCAGAGGCUAAAACCCCGGGACCCCUGCUGUCCUUCCCGCAGCUUCUUCUCGGAGUCUCAGGGCAAACCCUUUUGAGCAGCGCCUCCCAGUGGCCAGAAGCUGAAAUGACGGCAGUGGUGCCGCCUGGUGAAUGAAUUGGUUCUGUGACCCGGGAA